ACCUUUUGGAGGGGGAUAACAUUGGGAAACUGAUGCUAAUACCCCGUAAUACUGAGGAGUUAAAAGCGGGUAUCCUGUGAGGGAGCCACGCGCCAAGAGAGGGGCUUGCGGCUGAUUAGCUAGUUGGUGGGGGGUAAUGGCCUCCCAAGGCCACGAUCAGUAGCUGGUCUGAGAGGACGAUCAGCCACACUGGGACUGAGACACGGCCCAG
RNAcentral lists this ribosomal RNA (211 nucleotides) under uncultured bacterium. Its description in RNAcentral is "partial 16S ribosomal RNA". It matches the Rfam family "Bacterial small subunit ribosomal RNA", at positions 128 to 334 of the family's 1533-position model. The record is from RNAcentral.